This 244-nucleotide non-coding RNA is filed under the name Prochlorococcus marinus subsp. pastoris str. CCMP1986. Lineage: Bacteria; Bacillati; Cyanobacteriota; Cyanophyceae; Synechococcales; Prochlorococcaceae. The record is from RNAcentral.
AUAAGCAUAUUUGUACAUUUUCCUAUAAUCAUCAUGCAAUCUUUCAGUUGCUAACUUUCUAUUUUCCAUUCCAUCUCUAAUCAAAUCCAUUUCAUGGAAGUUUUGAUUUAGGAUUGUGAAAGGAGUAAUGAGUUUCAUAAAACCUCCUGUAUCUACACCUUUAUUGUCCUCCUAUUGUUAUUAAAUUAAUAGAGCGGUUUGAGGAACAAUUAGGUACGGGAAGAGGACUAAAUUUUCGACUAGA